Molecule: unclassified non-coding RNA, 314 nt
Filed under: plant metagenome
Description: partial contains 5.8S ribosomal RNA, internal transcribed spacer 2, and large subunit ribosomal RNA
Rfam family: 5.8S ribosomal RNA (bases 1-105)
Source: RNAcentral
GAAAUGCGAUAAUUAAUGGGAAUUGCAGAAUUCAGUGAAUCAUCGAGUCUUUGAACGCACAUUGCGCCCCCUGGUAUUCCGGGGGGCAUGCCUGUCCGAGCGUCAUUGCUGCCCUCAAGCACGGCUUGUGUGUUGGGCUUCCGUCCCUGGCAACGGGGACGGGCCCAAAAGGCAGUGGCGGCACCAUGUCUGGUCCUCGAGCGUAUGGGGCUUUGUCACCCGCUCCCGUAGGUCCAGCUGGCAGCUAGCCUCGCAACCAAUCUUUUUAACCAGGUUGACCUCGGAUCAGGUAGGGAUACCCGCUGAACUUAAGC